RNAcentral lists this ribosomal RNA (533 nucleotides) under uncultured bacterium. RNAcentral describes it as "bacterial LSU rRNA". It matches the Rfam family "Bacterial large subunit ribosomal RNA", at positions 1808 to 2332 of the family's 2925-position model. The record is from RNAcentral.
CAAAAACACAGGUCCGUGCGAAGCCGCAAGGCGAUGUAUACGGACUGACGCCUCCCCGGUGCUGGAAGGUUAAGCGGACCGGUCAGCCCACCUUGUGUGGGUGAAGCUGGGAAGUUAAGCCCCAGUAACGGCGGUGGUAACUAUAACCAUCCUAAGGUAGCGAAAUUCCUUGUCGGGUAAGUUCCGACCUGCACGAAUGGCGUAACGACUUCUCUACUGUCUCGACCACGAACUCGGCGAAAUUGCAUUACGAGUAAAGAUGCUCGUUACGCGCAGAAGGACGGAAAGACCCCGGGACCUUUACUAUAGCUUGGUAUUGGUGUUCGGUACGGCUUGUGUAGGAUAGGUGGGAGACUGUGAAACUCAGACGCUAGUUUGGGUGGAGUCAUUGUUGAAAUACCACUCUGGCCGUGCUGCACAUCUAACCUCGGCCCGUGAUCCGGGCCAGGAACAGUGCCUGGUGGGUAGUUUAACUGGGGCGGUUGCCUCCUAAAAAGGUAACGGAGGCGCUCAAAGGUUUCCUCAGCCUGGUC